This 268-nucleotide ribosomal RNA is filed under the name uncultured prokaryote. RNAcentral's name for it is "partial 16S ribosomal RNA". It matches the Rfam family "Bacterial small subunit ribosomal RNA", at positions 524 to 792 of the family's 1533-position model. The record is from RNAcentral.
UACGUAGGGUGCGAGCGUUAAUCGGAAUUACUGGGCGUAAAGCGUGCGCAGGCGGUUUGCUAAGACAGGUGUGAAAUCCCGGGCUUAACCUGGGAACUGCGCUUGUGACUGGCAGGCUAGAGUACGGUAGAGGGGGGUGGAAUUCCUGGUGUAGCAGUGAAAUGCGUAGAUAUCAGGAGGAACACCGAUGGCGAAGGCAGCCCCCUGGGCCUGUACUGACGCUCAUGCACGAAAGCGUGGGGAGCAAACAGGAUUAGAUACCCGGGUA